RNAcentral lists this ribosomal RNA (401 nucleotides) under uncultured eukaryote. RNAcentral's name for it is "SSU rRNA". It matches the Rfam family "Eukaryotic small subunit ribosomal RNA", at positions 567 to 973 of the family's 1831-position model. The record is from RNAcentral.
CCAGCAGCCGCGGUAAUUCCAGCUCCAAUAGCGUAUAUUAAAGUUGUUGCAGUUAAAAAGCUCGUAGUCGGAUUUUGGCAUCACGCCGUACUGUCUGCCGAUUGGUAUGCACGGUUUGGCGGGUGCUUCCUUCCGGAGGCUCGUUCCCUCCUUAACUGAAGGGUUCGUUGGUUCCGGUUCUUUUACUUUGAGAAAAUUAGAGUGUUCAAAGCAGGCCUACGCUUGAAUACAUUAGCAUGGAAUAAUGGAAUAGGACUUUGGUGCUAUUUUGUUGGUUUAUGGGACCGAAGUAAUGAUUAACAGGGACAGUUGGGGCCGUUUAUAUUUCGUUGUCAGAGGUGAAAUUCUUGGAUUUACGAAAGAUAAACUUCUGCGAAAGCAUUCGGCAAGGAUGUUUUCAU